RNAcentral lists this ribosomal RNA (497 nucleotides) under uncultured bacterium. RNAcentral's name for it is "partial 16S ribosomal RNA". It matches the Rfam family "Bacterial small subunit ribosomal RNA", at positions 28 to 507 of the family's 1533-position model. The record is from RNAcentral.
GAUGAACGCUGCCGCCUGCCCUAUCCCAUGCAAGUCGACCGACAGAACAGGAAGUUUCUCCUCUUACGUUUGGCGCGGACCGGGGGGGUAACAGGUGAAUAACCAACUUUUAAGCCGGGGUUAAUUCCGGAAACCCGGACCUAUUCCGGAAAAAUAUUUUAAACGGCUGGUUUCAUAAGUAAAGAAGGUUUUUCUGGUCAUUAUUAAAUGAUUCCGGGCCGCAUUAGCUAGUUGGUAAGGUAACGGCUUACCAAGGCGACGAUGCGUAGCCGACCUGAGAGGGUGAUCGGCCACACUGGAACUGAGACACGGUCCAGACUCCUACGGGAGGCAGCAGUAGGGAAUCUUCCGCAAUGGGCGAAAGCCUGACGGAGCAACGCCGCGUGAGUGAUGAAGGUCUUCGGAUCGUAAAACUCUGUUAUUAGGGAAGAACAAAUGUGUAAGUAACUAUGCACGUCUUGACGGUACCUAAUCAGAAAGCCACGGCUAACUACGUG